AACGAACGCUGGCGGCAGGCCUAACACAUGCAAGUCGAGCGAGGACUUCGGUCCUAGCGGCGGACGGGUGAGUAACGCGUGGGAACGUGCCCUUUGCUUCGGAAUAGCCCUGGGAAACUGGGAGUAAUACCGGAUGAGCCCUUUGGGGGAAAGAUUUAUCGGCGAAGGAUCGGCCCGCGUUGGAUUAGGUAGUUGGUGGGGUAAUGGCCUACCAAGCCGACGAUCCAUAGCUGGUUUGAGAGGAUGAUCAGCCACACUGGGACUGAGACACGGCCCAGACUCCUACGGGAGGCAGCAGUGGGGAAUCUUAGACAAUGGGGGAAAACCUGAUCUAGCCAUGCCGCGUGAGCGAUGAAGGCCUUAGGGUUGUAAAGCUCUUUCAGCUGGGAAGAUAAUGACGGUACCGGCAGAAGAAGCCCCGGCUAACUCCGUG
Molecule: ribosomal RNA, 433 nt
Filed under: uncultured bacterium
Lineage: Bacteria
Description: partial 16S ribosomal RNA
Rfam family: Bacterial small subunit ribosomal RNA
Source: RNAcentral